RNAcentral lists this ribosomal RNA (497 nucleotides) under uncultured bacterium. Its description in RNAcentral is "partial 16S ribosomal RNA". It matches the Rfam family "Bacterial small subunit ribosomal RNA", at positions 28 to 507 of the family's 1533-position model. The record is from RNAcentral.
GAUGAACGCUGGCGGCGUGCCUAAUACAUGCAAGUCGAGCGAACGGACGAGAAGCUUGCUUCUCUGAUGUUAGCGGCGGACGGGUGAGUAACACGUGGAUAACCUACCUAUAAGACUGGGAUAACUUCGGGAAACCGGAGCUAAUACCGGAUAAUAUUUUGAACCGCAUGGUUCAAAAGUGAAAGACGGUCUUGCUGUCACUUAUAGAUGGAUCCGCGCUGCUUUAGCUAGUUGGUAAGGUAACGGCUUACCAAGGCAACGAUGCCUAUCCGACCUGCGAGAGGGAUCGGCCACACGGGAAGUGAGACGCGGACCAGGCUCCUACGGUAGGCAGCAGUAGGGAAUCGUCCGCAGUGGUCGAAAGCAUGACGGAGCAACGCCGCGUGAGUGGUGAAGAUCUUCGGUGCGUAAAACUCUGUUAUGAGGGAAGAACAGAUUUGUAAGUAACUGUGCACAGCUUGACGGUACCGAAUCAGAAAGCCACGGCUAACUACGUG